UAGCCCUGAUAUGAUUUGGCUCUGUGUCC
Molecule: non-coding RNA, 29 nt
Filed under: Homo sapiens (human)
Lineage: Eukaryota; Metazoa; Chordata; Mammalia; Primates; Hominidae
Source: RNAcentral